Molecule: long non-coding RNA, 233 nt
Organism: Centrocercus urophasianus (Greater sage-grouse)
Lineage: Eukaryota; Metazoa; Chordata; Aves; Galliformes; Phasianidae
Exons: 2
Source: RefSeq, a predicted model, not a curated record
UUGAAGUUAAUUCCCUAUAAAAAGCAGUUGACGGAAGAGUUUGUAUUUGCGUCUGAACGCUUGCAUGCAGCUUCUAGGCGUACAGAACUGCAAUUCAGUGUUGUAUCACGGGUAGCAACAAGGACAUGGACGCCAGAGAUGACAGUGCAUUGGCUGCUUCAGUUUAAAAGCUUUUUUUCAGCUGUUCUCAUCCUGUUUCUUCAAAUAAAGGUGUAACAAACUUUUACACUGUA